AUGCACACGAGACACAAUGCAAAGUUACGAAAACAGGAGGUGUUCCUCCACCUGGGCAGAUCCAGUUCCCCUCAGUGCAGCCAGACUCUGUGACUUUAAGAUGGUCACCACCAGAGGGCGCUCCUGGCCCCCACAGGUACAGGGUGACCAGGAGACGAGGCCAAGAGCAGCGCAGCAUCCUGGUGACGGGUCUUCAGAUGGAGGUGACAGGACUUCUUCCAGGAGAGAAGUACCACUUUACUGUGGCCACCCUCAGUGAAGAUGGCCGCCAGAGCCCAUGCGUGGGGGGAUCUGUACACACAGAGGUUCCGAUGCCAGAGAAUCUCACUGUAGAAUCCAACUCCUCGUGUGUCUCUUUGAAGUGGACCAAACCAGAAGGAAUAGACCAGGUGUCUUACCUGCUGGAGCUUUUCUAUGAGGGACAGGGGGAACAGACGAGGAUCAUUAGCACAGAUUUACUCCUUCAUUCUAUCUCGUACUUCCAACAUGGCAGUAAAUACACUGUCCAAGUAUCUACACUGAAAAAUGAACGUCAAAGC
Clupea harengus (Atlantic herring) is the source of this 539-nucleotide long non-coding RNA. RefSeq lists it as uncharacterized. Lineage: Eukaryota; Metazoa; Chordata; Actinopteri; Clupeiformes; Clupeidae. The transcript is spliced from 3 exons. The record is from RefSeq and is a predicted model, not a curated record.